This 648-nucleotide unclassified non-coding RNA is filed under the name uncultured Prochlorococcus sp. RNAcentral describes it as "partial 16S-23S ribosomal RNA intergenic spacer; may also contain 16S ribosomal RNA and 23S ribosomal RNA". The stretch from base 304 to 376 matches the Rfam family "tRNA". The record is from RNAcentral. Lineage: Bacteria; Bacillati; Cyanobacteriota; Cyanophyceae; Synechococcales; Prochlorococcaceae.
UUGUGGAGGAGGACGCCGAAGGUGGGGCUAAUGACUGGGGUGAAGUCGUAACAAGGUAGCCGUACCGGAAGGUGCGGCUGGAUCACCUCCUAACAGGGAGACAACAAAAUGUUUAAUAUUAUUAUUUUGUCACCUUAGGUCGAUCGGUAUCUCACAUUCUUAAUUUAUUAAGGAUUUCAUUUCCUAAGUUUUUCUAGGUCACACCCAUUAUUUUCCUGGGCCAUUAGCUCAGGUGGUUAGAGCGCACCCCUGAUAAGGGUGAGGUCCCUGGUUCAAGUCCAGGAUGGCCCAUAUCUCUAUGUUGGGGGUAUAGCUCAGUUGGUAGAGCGCCUGCUUUGCAAGCAGGAUGUCAGCGGUUCGAGUCCGCUUACCUCCACUGAUUACCACCUCUUCCAUAAUCUGUAGAAAGGGAAUUUUUUGAGUCGUGACCAAAUUCUGAAAGAAUCUAGCUUCCUAAUGAAAUCAUUAAGAUGCUGGACUCAUUGAAUUAAUUUCAUCGUUUUCAGAGAACCUUGACAACUGCAUAGAUUAUUUUUUUAAAGACAAUAAGCAUCUUUUAAUGAUGCAGAUUUAUUAUUUGUGCGAAUGCAUUAAUAACAAUUCUAUUAAGCUGAUGCUUCAAUUUUGAAGUUAUUGGUCAAGCUACAA